UACGGAGGGUGCAAGCGUUGUUCGGAAUUACUGGGCGUAAAGCGCGUGCAGGCGGUUGAGCAAGUCAGAUGUGAAAGCCUUCCGCUUAACGGAAGAAGUGCAUUUGAAACUACUCAGCUAGAGUUCGAGAGAGGAAAGUGGAAUUCCCGGUGUAGAGGUGAAAUUCGUAGAUAUCGGGAAGAACACCAGUGGCGAAGGCGGCUUUCUGGCUCGAUACUGACGCUGAGACGCGAAAGCGUGGGGAGCAAACAGG
RNAcentral lists this ribosomal RNA (253 nucleotides) under uncultured bacterium. RNAcentral's name for it is "partial 16S ribosomal RNA". It matches the Rfam family "Bacterial small subunit ribosomal RNA", at positions 524 to 776 of the family's 1533-position model. The record is from RNAcentral.